UACGGAGGGUGCGAGCGUUAUCCGGAUUUAUUGGGUUUAAAGGGUGCGUAGGCCGUCUGGUAAGUCAGCGGUGAAAUUUCAGGGCUCAACCCUGAGAUUGCCGUUGAUACUGUCGGACUGGAGUGUUGUCGGCGCGGGAGGAAUGCGGCAAGUAGCGGUGAAAUGCAUAGAUAUGCCGCAGAACACCAAUAGCGAAGGCAUCCCGAGAGGCGACACUGACGCUGAGGCACGAAAGCGUGGGUAUC
RNAcentral lists this ribosomal RNA (245 nucleotides) under uncultured Bacteroidota bacterium. RNAcentral describes it as "uncultured Bacteroidetes bacterium partial 16S ribosomal RNA". It matches the Rfam family "Bacterial small subunit ribosomal RNA", at positions 524 to 769 of the family's 1533-position model. Lineage: Bacteria; Pseudomonadati; Bacteroidota. The record is from RNAcentral.